This 1208-nucleotide long non-coding RNA is filed under the name Homo sapiens (human). Its description in RNAcentral is "HSALNT0356325". The record is from RNAcentral. Lineage: Eukaryota; Metazoa; Chordata; Mammalia; Primates; Hominidae.
AGUUCAGGCUGCAAUGCUGGGUCCCGCCCCUUCUUCCGGCUGGGUUCCACUACCUGCAAGGCUGGAACUGACAGCCACUGUGCAAACAAAAAAAGGCAACAAGCAUGCUGGGACCAUUCUGUCUGCUGUUUGGGUCUCACUUGUCCUGACAACUAAAAAUCAUCAGUGGAAAGAAGCUAGAGUCAUCCUAACAAGAGUGAUAGUCUUUCCCCAAGUGAGACCAGGCUGUGCUGUCUGGGGAAAAGCAUUGCUGGCCUUGUCGAGAUGCACCGACGACUCAGCUCAGCUAAGGACUUAACCAGUACAGGACUUGCUGCAGCGGAGCCUGAGCUGGAUAUGGAAAGCAAAAGAAGCAAGAUCUCCCUAUGUUGCCAAGGUUGGUCUGGAACUCCUGAGCUCAAGUGAUCCUCCUGCCUCAGCCUCCUAAAGUGUUAGAAUUAUUGAUGUGAGCCACUGCAUGUGGUCAAUUCUGUCAUUCUUGACAACAAGGAUGAAGCUGGGAGAUACUGUGCUGAGUAGAAUAAACCAAGCACAAAAAGACAAGUGCCUCAUGAGCUCACUUAUAUGUAGAAUCUGUAACAGUCGAACUCAUCAGAGAGCAGAAUAAUGGUUACCAGGGACUAGCAGUAGGCUGGAGGGAGAGGUGGGGAGGUGUCGGUGAAAUAAUAUAAAAUUUCAGUUAGAAAAAAUAAGAUUUAAGAGAUCUAUUGCACAACAUGGUGACUAUAGUUAUUAACACUGUAUUAUAUUCUUGAAAAUCACUAAGAUUUUAAUAUUCUCACCACAAAAAAUAAGCAUGUGAGGUAAUGCAUAUGUUAAUGGCUCAAUUUAGCCAUUUCCAAUGAUUAAAUAUUUGAAAGCAGUUAUAUACCAUAAAUGUGUACCUUUUUAAUUAAAAAAAUUAUUUUCUAGCAGGAUGCUCUGAAAUUGGAACUGAAUAUUACUUAAACCUUGAAGUCUGGGAACAGGGACAUAGUGCUUUUCCAAAACUGCCAGAAAGGUGUCUCUUAAUGCUCUAUGGAUAGAAGUGGCCACCUGUCUUACAGGCUGACGCUGGAGCCCAGCAAAAGUUAUUUUGGUAGACCCUUAUUGUUUAGCAAUGCAAAAAGAGAACCUACUUACUUUCUUUGUAUUAACUCUGGAUACUGAUAAACUAAAUAAAAAUACCUUGGCCAGGGAUAUUAAUUAUUUUGUUUAUUCAUAUAAAA